AACGGCCGUACCAUGCUGAAUAUACCGGUUCUCGUUAGAACACCGAAGUUAAGCAUCAUUGGGCCCGGUCAGUACUUGGGUGGGUGACCACCUGGGAACACUGCGUGCCGUU
Non-coding RNA from Caerostris darwini, 112 nucleotides. The record is from the annotation of a GenBank genome assembly. NCBI's taxonomy places the organism in Eukaryota, Metazoa, Arthropoda, Arachnida, Araneae, Araneidae.